UGCAAGGGCACUCUGUGUUAUCCAUUCUCAAUAUGAUAAUUACAAUUUGUUACCUUGCUAAAGUAAUUCAACUGAACCCUAUUCCUUACAGCUAGCAUGUCGCUGUAGGAUCAUAGCAGUUCGAUACAUUUAU
This is a small nucleolar RNA of Ostrinia furnacalis (Asian corn borer), 133 nucleotides long. RefSeq annotates it as small nucleolar RNA psi18S-841/snoR66. The transcript has a single exon. The record is from RefSeq and is a predicted model, not a curated record. NCBI's taxonomy places the organism in Eukaryota, Metazoa, Arthropoda, Insecta, Lepidoptera, Crambidae.